UACGUAGGGUCCGAGCGUUGUCCGGAGUUACUGGGCGUAAAGCGCGCGCAGGCGGCUACACAAGCAUGGCGUGAAAGCCCCCGGCUCAACCGGGGAGGGUCGUCGUGGACUGUGUGGCUUGAGGGCGGGAGGGGCUGGUGGAAUUCCCGGUGUAGUGGUGAAAUGCGUAGAGAUCGGGAGGAACACCCGUGGCGAAGGCGGCCAGCUGGACCGACCCUGACGCUGAGGCGCGAAGGCGUGGGGAGCAAACAGG
RNAcentral lists this ribosomal RNA (253 nucleotides) under uncultured bacterium. RNAcentral describes it as "partial 16S ribosomal RNA". It matches the Rfam family "Bacterial small subunit ribosomal RNA", at positions 524 to 776 of the family's 1533-position model. The record is from RNAcentral.